AUGCCAGCCGGGGGGACUCUGCGCCUCAAAGCUGCGGAGCCCGUCCUGCGCGACGGGGAGGCGACGGGGUCCCCGGGAGCCGCACAGGCGAGGGGGGCGCCCGAGAGUACGUCCCCCCUCACAAGGGAGGAGGAACCCCACGGGCUGCGGCCCCAAGGACAGAUGGGGCUGCCUGCGUUCUCCCCAGAUCCCCAGCGGCAGGGCGGCAAGGGGGCGGUUCAAUUAAAAGCUAAAGACCCCAGGAGGAAGCAGCCAGUACAGGCCGGUAAGAGCCGCUCCAUCCUGACUGAGGGACACCCCGAAAGCAGGCGACCGAGGCAGAGCCGGCACCGUGACAAGGUGACAAAUAACCUGCCCGUCUCGGGCUUUGUCACAAACACCCAGGCUCGGGGAAGUGGCUCGCAGCCUCCCUCCCUGCAUCAGGACCCAAAGGACCGGGGCGGCUCGUGGCCUUGCCAGCAGCCUUCCUGUGUCCCUGCAUCAGGACCCAAAGGACCGGGGAUGCUCCAAGGCUCAGGGGAGGCUCGUGGCCUUGCCAGCAGCCUUCCUGUAUCCCUGCAUCAGGACCCAAAGGACCGGGGAUGCUCCAAGGCUCAGGGGAGGCUCGUGGCCUUGCCAGCAGCCUUCCUGUAUCCCUGCAUCAGGACCCAAAGGACCGGGGAUGCUCCAAGGCUCAGGGGAGGCUCGUGGCCUUGCCAGCAGCCUUCCUGUAUCCCUGCAUCAGGACCCAAAGGACCGGGGAUGCUCCAAGGCUCAGGGGAGGCUCGUGGCCUUGCCAGCAGCCUUCCUGUAUCCCUGCAUCAGGACCCAAAGGACUGGGGAUGCUCCAAGGCUCAGGGGAGGCUCGUGGCCUUGCCAGCAGCCUUCCUGUAUCCCUGCAUCAGGACCCAAAGGACCGGGGAUGCUCCAAGGCUCAGGGGAGGCGUGCCGGAGGGGAGGCUGGGAAUGCCAAGAGGAGAUGCUGAACGUCAGGAAAGGAAGCUGUCCUGGCUCGAGGGCUGUCCAGGGUGA
Molecule: long non-coding RNA, 1011 nt
Filed under: Monodelphis domestica (gray short-tailed opossum)
Lineage: Eukaryota; Metazoa; Chordata; Mammalia; Didelphimorphia; Didelphidae
Description: lncRNA (ENSMODG00000044183.1)
Source: RNAcentral